UACGAAGGGGGCUAGCGUUGCUCGGAAUUACUGGGCGUAAAGCGUGCGCAGGCGGCUUCGCAAGUCAGGCGUGAAAUCCCCGGGCUUAACCUGGGAAUGGCGUCUGAAACUACGGAGCUGGAGUGUGGCAGAGGGAGGUAGAAUUCCACGUGUAGCGGUGAAAUGCGUAGAUAUGUGGAGGAAUACCGAUGGCGAAGGCAGCCUCCUGGGCCAACACUGACGCUCAUGCACGAAAGCGUGGGGAGCAAACAGG
RNAcentral lists this ribosomal RNA (253 nucleotides) under uncultured bacterium. RNAcentral describes it as "partial 16S ribosomal RNA". It matches the Rfam family "Bacterial small subunit ribosomal RNA", at positions 524 to 776 of the family's 1533-position model. The record is from RNAcentral.